Molecule: ribosomal RNA, 254 nt
Filed under: uncultured bacterium
Lineage: Bacteria
Description: partial 16S ribosomal RNA
Rfam family: Bacterial small subunit ribosomal RNA
Source: RNAcentral
AGACCUACGGGGGGCAGCAGAGAGGAAUAUUGGUCAAUGGGCGAGAGCCUGAACCAGCCAAGUCGCGUGAGGGAGUACUGCCCUAUGGGUUGUAAACCUCUUUUGUCGGGGAGCAAAAGCCGGACGUGUCCGGCUGUGAGAGUACCCGAAGAAAAAGCAUCGGCUAACUCCGUGCCAGCAGCCGCGAUAAUACGGAGGAGGCGAGCGGUAUCCGGAUUUAUUGGGGUUAAAGGGUGCGCAGGCGGAUUUGUAAG